RNAcentral lists this ribosomal RNA (1419 nucleotides) under Klebsiella pneumoniae. RNAcentral's name for it is "partial 23S ribosomal RNA". It matches the Rfam family "Bacterial large subunit ribosomal RNA", at positions 1441 to 2839 of the family's 2925-position model. The record is from RNAcentral. Lineage: Bacteria; Pseudomonadati; Pseudomonadota; Gammaproteobacteria; Enterobacterales; Enterobacteriaceae.
GUACUUGGUGUUACUGCGAAGGGGGGACGGAGAAGGCUAUGUUAGCCGGGCGACGGUUGUCCCGGUUUAAGCAUGUAGGCUGGUUAUCCAGGCAAAUCCGGAUAAUCAAGGCUGAGGUGUGAUGACGAGGCACUACGGUGCUGAAGUAACAAAUGCCCUGCUUCCAGGAAAAGCCUCUAAGCAUCAGGUAACAUCAAAUCGUACCCCAAACCGACACAGGUGGUCAGGUAGAGAAUACCAAGGCGCUUGAGAGAACUCGGGUGAAGGAACUAGGCAAAAUGGUGCCGUAACUUCGGGAGAAGGCACGCUGGUGUGUAGGUGAAGUCCCUGCGGAUGGAGCUGAGACCAGUCGAAGAUACCAGCUGGCUGCAACUGUUUAUUAAAAACACAGCACUGUGCAAACACGAAAGUGGACGUAUACGGUGUGACGCCUGCCCGGUGCCGGAAGGUUAAUUGAUGGGGUUAUCCGUAAGGAGAAGCUCUUGAUCGAAGCCCCGGUAAACGGCGGCCGUAACUAUAACGGUCCUAAGGUAGCGAAAUUCCUUGUCGGGUAAGUUCCGACCUGCACGAAUGGCGUAAUGAUGGCCAGGCUGUCUCCACCCGAGACUCAGUGAAAUUGAACUCGCUGUGAAGAUGCAGUGUACCCGCGGCAAGACGGAAAGACCCCGUGAACCUUUACUAUAGCUUGACACUGAACAUUGAGCCUUGAUGUGUAGGAUAGGUGGGAGGCUUUGAAGCGUGGACGCCAGUCUGCGUGGAGCCAACCUUGAAAUACCACCCUUUAAUGUUUGAUGUUCUAACGUUGGCCCCUUACCGGGGUUGCGGACAGUGUCUGGUGGGUAGUUUGACUGGGGCGGUCUCCUCCCAAAGCGUAACGGAGGAGCACGAAGGUUAGCUAAUCCUGGUCGGACAUCAGGAGGUUAGUGCAAUGGCAUAAGCUAGCUUGACUGCGAGCGUGACGGCGCGAGCAGGUGCGAAAGCAGGUCAUAGUGAUCCGGUGGUUCUGAAUGGAAGGGCCAUCGCUCAACGGAUAAAAGGUACUCCGGGGAUAACAGGCUGAUACCGCCCAAGAGUUCAUAUCGACGGCGGUGUUUGGCACCUCGAUGUCGGCUCAUCACAUCCUGGGGCUGAAGUAGGUCCCAAGGGUAUGGCUGUUCGCCAUUUAAAGUGGUACGCGAGCUGGGUUUAGAACGUCGUGAGACAGUUCGGUCCCUAUCUGCCGUGGGCGCUGGAGAAUUGAGGGGGGCUGCUCCUAGUACGAGAGGACCGGAGUGGACGCAUCACUGGUGUUCGGGUUGUCAUGCCAAUGGCACUGCCCGGUAGCUAAAUGCGGAAGAGAUAAGUGCUGAAAGCAUCUAAGCACGAAACUUGCCCCGAGAUGAGUUCUCCCUGAGACUUUAAGUCUCCUGAAGGAACGUU